Molecule: ribosomal RNA, 301 nt
Filed under: uncultured bacterium
Lineage: Bacteria
Description: partial 16S ribosomal RNA
Rfam family: Bacterial small subunit ribosomal RNA
Source: RNAcentral
CAGCCGCCACGGGAAUACGAGGGGAGCUAGCGUUGUUCGGAAUUACUGGGCGUAAAGCGCGCGUAGGCGGCUUUUUAAGUCAGAGGUGAAAGCCCGGGGCUCAACCCCGGAAUUGCCUUUGAAACUGGAAAGCUAGAAUCUUGGAGAGGUCAGUGGAAUUCCGAGUGUAGAGGUGAAAUUCGUAGAUAUUCGGAAGAACACCAGUGGCGAAGGCGACUGACUGGACAAGUAUUGACGCUGAGGUGCGAAAGCGUGGGGAGCAAACAGGAUUAGAUACCCCUGUAGUCCCUGUCUCUUAUAC